This 232-nucleotide ribosomal RNA is filed under the name uncultured bacterium. RNAcentral's name for it is "partial 16S ribosomal RNA". It matches the Rfam family "Bacterial small subunit ribosomal RNA", at positions 99 to 334 of the family's 1533-position model. The record is from RNAcentral.
CGAACGGGUGAGGAAUACAUCGGAACGUGUCUUUAAGUGGGGGAUAACGCAUCGAAAGGUGUGCUAAUACCGCAUAAUCUCUGAGGAGAAAAGCAGGGGAUCGCAAGACCUUGCGCUUUUGGAGCGGCCGAUGCCUGAUUAGCUUGUUGGUAAGGUAAAAGCUUACCAAGGCUUCGAUCAGUAGCUGGUCUGAGAGGACGGCCAGCCACACUGGGACUGAGACACGGCCCAG